UCUUUAAGAAUAUAAUUUAAAGUYUAAUCUGCUCCAUGAUAAAAUUAAAUAGCUGCAGAAUUUUAACUGUACAAAGGUAGCAUAAUCAAUAGUUUUUUAAUUAAAAGCUAGAAUGAAUGAUUUGAUAAGGUAGAUAUUGUCUCAAUUUUAUUGGAAAUAGAAUUUUUUUUUUAAUAAAAAAAUUAAAAUAAUUUUAAAAGACGAGAAGACCCUAUAGAUUUUUAUAAUUAUUUUUAUAAUAAAUUAAAAUUAUAUAAUAAAAUUAAAAAUAAAUUAUUAGAUUGGGGAAAUUAUUAAAUUAAAGAAAUUUUAAUAAAUUAUUGACUUAAAUUAAAGAAAUUUUGAUUUUAAAUAUUUAAAUAAAAAGAAUAAAUUACCUUAGGGAUAACAGCGUAAUAUUUUUUGGAGAGAUCUUAUUGAUAAAAAAGUUUGCGACCUCGAUGUUGAAUUAAGAUAAAAUAUUAAUGUAGAAGUUAGUAAUUUUUGGUCUGUUCGACCAUUAAAAUCUUACGUGAUC
Molecule: ribosomal RNA, 517 nt
Filed under: Mallochia strigosa
Lineage: Eukaryota; Metazoa; Arthropoda; Insecta; Hymenoptera; Ichneumonidae
Description: partial 16S large subunit ribosomal RNA
Rfam family: Archaeal large subunit ribosomal RNA (bases 384-517)
Source: RNAcentral